AUACGUAGGGGGCGAGCGUUGUCCGGAAUGAUUGGGCGUAAAGGGCGCGUAGGCGGCCCGGUAAGUCUGGAGUGAAAGUCCUGUUUUUAAGAUGGGAAUUGCUUUGGAUACUGUCGGGCUUGAGUGCAGGAGAGGUAAGUGGAAUUCCCAGUGUAGCGGUGAAAUGCGUAGAGAUUGGGAGGAACACCAGUGGCGAAGGCGACUUACUGGACUGUAACUGACGCUGAGGCGCGAAGGUGUGGGGAGCAAACAGGAUUAGAUACCCUGGUAGUCUACACUGUAGACGAUGAAUGCUAGGUGUAGGGGGUAUCGACCCCUUCUGUGCCGCAGUCAACACAAUAAGCAUUCCGCCUGGGGAGUACGGCCGCAAGGUUGAAACUCAAAGGAAUUGACGGGG
This 397-nucleotide ribosomal RNA is filed under the name uncultured bacterium. RNAcentral describes it as "partial 16S ribosomal RNA". It matches the Rfam family "Bacterial small subunit ribosomal RNA", at positions 523 to 918 of the family's 1533-position model. The record is from RNAcentral.